Molecule: long non-coding RNA, 272 nt
Filed under: Theobroma cacao (cacao)
Lineage: Eukaryota; Viridiplantae; Streptophyta; Magnoliopsida; Malvales; Malvaceae
Description: long non-coding RNA (TCAC_LNC000783)
Source: RNAcentral
UUCUUUUUCAUGGACCGAUCGCUGGAAAGGUAAUCGGUGUAAUAAAACGUCGAUCUGGCGCACCAUGUGGCCGGAUCUAGCCACUAUGGCGCCAGAUCGGUGCUUCUCCACGGUUGGAUCUGGUCGUUGAGUGUCAGAUCUGACUGGAUCUCGGUUCAAUGUUAUCGGAAAGGACUAGAUCGACGCUUUUCGAUCAUAUUCGGUCUCUAUCGCCGUCGUCGUCGUUGCCGCCGUCGUCGUCGGUGUUGAGUUCCAAUUAGAGAGAGAAUGAG